GGAGACUGCAUAGGGUGUGACUAUCAGGAACCAUGGCUCACUGGAGCACCAUCUUUGGAGUCUAGCUAACACAGCAUCUUGGAUGCACUCCUAAGAGAAGACUACCUGAAAGGCGUGUACACUGGUCUAGCAGUUGAGAUCAGCUAGUGUUCCAUCUAUCUUCUGUCAUGUAUCUCUUCUAAGAUGUCUUGAUCGACUGACCCCAAAGCCAGAGGGUACCAGGUCAAAAAGCAAGAAAACAAACAAUACUGACAUUAGAGAGAAGCAAAGUUUCUAUAGAAAACCUAUUACACUGUGGUAUAAAUCAAGAUGAACCUGCAGACAUCUAUUUUAGUUUGGAAGUCUGGAAAAGUUCAAGAUUGGCCAUCUGCAGCUGGUGAGAGCCUCAGGCUGCUUCCCCUCAUGGUGGAAGGUGAAGGGGAGCUGGUGUGUGCAGAGAUUACAUGAACCAAUGGCUCUACCCAACAUAUUCUUCUCACCACAGAUGACAAAGACACAAGGAGCCAAGACAGAUCAUUCAAGCAUAUUCAUUGCCUCUAUCUUCAUCCCAUUAAAUAACAUCCCGCCAACCAAAGCAAGUUAUCUGCAUAAGAAUAAAUAUUCCACCUACUCUACUGCAAGGCCCUGCAAGAGUCAUGAGACAAAAGGAUCCUCUGUGGACAGCACCCAAGAUGGAAACAACUGACAGUCUAUGGCCAGGGCUAUACUCUGGUGAAACUGAAAGGUGUCUGCAUGGAAGUGUCUGACUACCACCAUCCACUCAGGCAAAUGCAUUUGUUUCCCUCUAUUCAUUAUUAGAAGAGAGGAGAUUACAUACCAGACAUAUACCAAUAGAGAUGGGGUUUCAUCAUGUUGACCAGGCUGGUCUUGCCCUCCCGACCACAGGUGAUCUGCCCGCCUGAGCCUCCCAAAGUGCUGGGAUUACAGGCAUGAGCCACCACGCCUGUCCAAAACUUCUUGACUUAAUAAAGAAAGAAAGAAAGAAAAAAAAAAAAAAUCCUGUGCAGAGGUUGCUAAGAACCUUGGUAAGAAUCUUCUAUCUAUAAAAUUGUGAAGAAGAAUAAAAAAA
This 1069-nucleotide long non-coding RNA is filed under the name Homo sapiens (human). Its description in RNAcentral is "long intergenic non-protein coding RNA 2465". The record is from RNAcentral. Lineage: Eukaryota; Metazoa; Chordata; Mammalia; Primates; Hominidae.